CUAGAUCUUUUAGAUCAUCUCCAAAUCGUUCACCACCACAACUGACAACAUCACCAAAUCAAGUAAUUUCCAAAAAAUAAAAUUCAAACAGCUAGAAAGAAAGUCUAGAAGCAUAACAAAACACUAAAAAAAACAAAACAAAACAUUAAAUUCACUCUAAUCACAUUUUCUUUCCAUAUUUUUUUCAGACUUAAUUUCUGCAACAUACAUUCUUCAGAGCAAAUAAAUCAAUGCCAAUACCAUAAACAGUCGAUUAAAAAACACAAAAGAACUAAAUUUAAUUUCAUCACAAUUUCUCGACAUCGUUUUCUAAUCAACCAAACAUGGCCCUAAAGUACACUCAACCUCUAAAACACCUCAAAUCAUCAAACAAAAAAUACCCAGAAACUUAAAAUAAAAAAGAAACAAAACCCAGAUGCCGACCUACAUAAAAACCAAUAUUUAUUCACAAAAAAAAUAAAAUCCAAACCUAGGGUUUGAGAUCGAACUCAAAAUUAAACUUCCAAUCACGAUAGCAAUCGAGAAGUGAAACUGAGAAAUCGGAAGAAGAAAACUGAGAAAGGGGAAGAGCUAACAAGAAGAGAGCAAUUGGAAGAAAAAG
RNAcentral lists this long non-coding RNA (601 nucleotides) under Panax ginseng (ginseng). RNAcentral's name for it is "long non-coding RNA (PGIN_LNC001713)". Lineage: Eukaryota; Viridiplantae; Streptophyta; Magnoliopsida; Apiales; Araliaceae. The record is from RNAcentral.